GAUCAUGGCUCAGGAUGAACGCUAGCUAUAGGCUUAACACAUGCAAGUCGAGGGGAAACGACAUCGAAAGCUUGCUUUUGAUGGGCGUCGACCGGCGCACGGGUGAGUAACGCGUAUCCAACCUGCCCAUCACUUGGGGAUAACCUUGCGAAAGUAAGACUAAUACCCAAUGACAUCCCACGAAGACAUCUGAAUGGGAUUAAAGAUUUAUCGGUGAUGGAUGGGGAUGCGU
This 232-nucleotide ribosomal RNA is filed under the name uncultured bacterium. RNAcentral describes it as "partial 16S ribosomal RNA". It matches the Rfam family "Bacterial small subunit ribosomal RNA", at positions 15 to 236 of the family's 1533-position model. The record is from RNAcentral.